RNAcentral lists this ribosomal RNA (450 nucleotides) under uncultured bacterium. RNAcentral describes it as "bacterial SSU rRNA". It matches the Rfam family "Bacterial small subunit ribosomal RNA", at positions 45 to 492 of the family's 1533-position model. The record is from RNAcentral.
GGCCUAACACAUGCAAGUCGAACGAUAUCAUCCAGCUUGCUGGAUGAGAAAGUGGCGCACGGGUGCGUAACGCGUAUGCAACCUACCUUAAUCUGGGGGAUAGCCCGGAGAAAUCCGGAUUAAUACCGCAUAAAAUCACAGGAUGGCAUUAUCCAAUGAUCAAACAUUUAUGGGAUUGAGAUGGGCAUGCGUGUCAUUAGCUAGUUGGCGGGGUAACGGCCCACCAAGGCGACGAUGACUAGGGGAUCUGAGAGGAUGGCCCCCCACACUGGUACUGAGACACGGACCAGACUCCUACGGGAGGCAGCAGUGAGGAAUAUUGGUCAAUGGGCGCAAGCCUGAACCAGCCAUGCCGCGUGCAGGAAGACUGCCCUAUGGGUUGUAAACUGCUUUUAUCCGGGAAUAAACCUUUCUACGUGUAGGAAGCUGAAUGUACCGGAAGAAUAAGGA